Molecule: transfer RNA, 68 nt
Filed under: Gemmatimonadales bacterium
Lineage: Bacteria; Pseudomonadati; Gemmatimonadota; Gemmatimonadia; Gemmatimonadales
Description: tRNA-Gly
Rfam family: tRNA
About the family: Transfer RNA (tRNA) molecules are approximately 80 nucleotides in length. Their secondary structure includes four short double-helical elements and three loops (D, anti-codon, and T loops).
Source: RNAcentral
GGCGUAGCUCAGUUGGUAGAGCAUCAGCUUCCCAAGCUGAGGGUCGCCGGUUCGAGUCCGGUCGCCCG